UGGGGAAUCUUGGACAAUGGGCGCAAGCCUGAUCCAGCCAUGCCGCGUGAGUGAUGAAGGCCUUAGGGUUGUAAAGCUCUUUUUGCCGGGGACGAUAAUGACGGUACCCGGAGAAUAAGUCCCGGCUAACUUCGUGCCAGCAGCCGCGGUAAUACGAAGGGGACUAGCGUUGUUCGGAAUCACUGGGCGUAAAGCGCACGUAGGCGGAUUUGUAAGUCAGGGGUGAAAUCCCGGGGCUCAACCUCGGAACUGCCUUUGAUACUGCGGAUCUCGAGUCCGAUAGAGGUGAGUGGAAUUCCUAGUGUAGAGGUGAAAUUCGUAGAUAUUAGGAAAAACACCGGUGGCGAAGGCGGCUCACUGGAUCGGUACUGACGCUGAGGUGCGAAAGCGUGGGGAGCAAACAGGAUUAGAUACCCCUGUAGUCCCUGAGCGGGCUGGCAAGGCGCAU
This 448-nucleotide ribosomal RNA is filed under the name uncultured bacterium. RNAcentral's name for it is "bacterial SSU rRNA". It matches the Rfam family "Bacterial small subunit ribosomal RNA", at positions 355 to 825 of the family's 1533-position model. The record is from RNAcentral.